UUUUGCUGAGGAAACUCUUUCAGUGUCCACAGAAAUAUUUUAUGAACCUGUUAGCAAAGUUUUAUUGAGAGAAACCACAAUUUGAGUGCAACAGUUGGAUUAAGCGUGGGUCAAUUUGUCAUACUUGCACCCCACUGUGCAGGCAUGACCAAUCGAAAUACACUUAAUUCAACUGUUACACAAGUAAUGUGUUUUGUUAGCAUUUUUGUUAGUUUUAAUUUGUUAAACAGCAGCCCCCGGCAUGCUGAUGGUUAGGUACCCAUGGCUUCACCCAUUCACAGAAUUUAUUUCCCGUGUUUUCUUUUUGGAGUGGUAACAAUUCCCCAAAACACUUGUUUUCAGUUUAUCCCUGCUUAUUAAAGAAUUUGGGGGGUUUAAAUCCCCCCCAAUUCAAUUCUAAUGGCCAUCAUUUAUCCAAGGAUUUUCGCUAUUUGCGGUCUGGCCCCGGUCCCUAUCCCCAGUGAAUAGCGAGGGUUAAUUGUACAUAUUUGAUACUACUUUAUUGUCACGUGUAUACAAUUAGUCAAGGAGUGAGAGGCACUUUACCAUUUGAAAGUGUGUCUUGUGUUUAAAUAAAGAAUCACUUGAAGUAAGUCACACUAUUGAAAAUGCAGUUUUUGCCCCACAAACAGAGGUAUGGACCGUACUGUGGGUUACCUGUCCCGUCCCACCCCACUUGGAUACCGCUAACCUGAUGGCUGGGCGUCAUGAGGAAAAGCAUGCGUCUGAGCAGCAGGCCCAGGUGGAAGUCUCCCUCACCGCGCCGUGAAGCACCACACGUCUGCGGCCAACAGUGCAGUCUGUGUGUCAGCCUGCAGCGUGGCCUCCACCAAGCACAGCUCCUGCCAGAAAGAAAAAAAGAACAAUAUUUUUUCAAAAAAGGGUGGCUUUGGAGUGAAAACAGAAGUAGAAAAUGUUAUCAAGAAAUGAAACGAAAGCAUUAAAAAAUUAAAGUGCAAGUGUCGCUUGUAUUGAAUGAGAGGAAAUCCCUCGGCAAACACGGGCGAGAGCCCAAAAGUGAUUAAGAGUCUGGAUAAAAUAAACUCCAGAUUUCACAGCAAACUGACGAAGUGAAAUGUUAUACAAUGUUUACAAAGUAGAGUUAUUUAUGUGUAGAACUCACCAGAACAGGGAAGUAUUGUGGAGGAAGCACAGCUACGCUGGCGCAGAGGUGCACACACACGUGAUGGUGCAGAGACACCUGACCUUGGGCCUGUCCUUUGAUCAUCACCCCUGGCAACAACACCGGCAGCUUCCGCUCAGCAUAACAAUGGCGAAAGCUACGGAGCACUGCCCGGUAGAGAGGAAGCCUGGAGACAGAGGUCCUAAUAGUUUAAUGAGACUUUUUUUUUUUUUUUUUUUUUUACAUAACACCCUGUGCAAUAUACAGCUUGAAUAAUCAUCAUUUUACAAAGGUAAUAUAACAUAUUGCCCAGUCACCAGUUUAAAACUGCCCGCAAAGAGAAAUAAACUGCACGAAGCAACUUUACCUGGGUGUUUCCUCUGAAAACUGACUCCCAGAUUGCCAAAGCUGCAGCACCUCCUCAGGCUGGGAGGCCAACUGCUCCAGCACAUUAGCCAGCAAAAGACACUGAGGAAGCUCAUGCUGCGGACUCAAUCCUGUGUAUAACAGCAAAUAUUUUCAUAAAUGUAAACAAUAAAUAUGCUGUGGUGCACUGUA
Phyllopteryx taeniolatus (common seadragon) is the source of this 1681-nucleotide long non-coding RNA. RefSeq lists it as uncharacterized. The transcript has 2 exons. NCBI's taxonomy places the organism in Eukaryota, Metazoa, Chordata, Actinopteri, Syngnathiformes, Syngnathidae. The record is from RefSeq and is a predicted model, not a curated record.